AUUACUUUGGCAGAUUAGUGCAUUAAAUUUAGAAUUUAAUUAUGUAUAUUUUACAUGUAAUA
This 62-nucleotide transfer RNA is filed under the name Staphylinidae sp. BMNH 1274705. RNAcentral describes it as "tRNA-Leu". The record is from RNAcentral. Lineage: Eukaryota; Metazoa; Arthropoda; Insecta; Coleoptera; Staphylinidae.